Molecule: ribosomal RNA, 1081 nt
Filed under: uncultured Rhizaria
Lineage: Eukaryota
Description: SSU rRNA
Rfam family: Eukaryotic small subunit ribosomal RNA
Source: RNAcentral
CGGUAAUUCCAGCUCCAAUAGCGUAUACUAAAGUUGUUGCAGUUAAAAAGCUCGUAGUUGGAUUUCUGCGGGGACGGAGCGGCCGGACGCAACUUGCGUCUCGAGCUAGCGCUUUCCCCGCAUCCUGCCGCGAACCGUGCUACCAUUAGCUUGGUGGCGCUGGGGAUCGGCUCGAUUACUUUGAGAAAAAUAGAGUGUUCAAAGCAGGCCACACGCCUUGAAUAAGUUAGCAUGGAAUAAUGACUAAGGACUUCGGUUCUAUUUUGUUGGUGUUCGGGACUGAAGUAAUGAUUGAUAGGGACAGUUGGGGCGGUCUGUAUUCCAAAGCGAGAGGUGAAAUUCUUAGACCUUCGGAAGACAAACAGCUGCGAAAGCGUUCCGCAAGGAUGUUCCCUUUGAUCAAGAACGAAAGUUGGGGGAUCGAAGACGAUCAGAUACCGUCGUAGUCUCAACUAUAAACUAUACCAGCUAGGGAUCGGUCAACGUUUAAUCAUUCGACUUGAUCGGCACCUUAUGAGAAAUCAAAGCAUCUGGGUUCCGGGGGGAGUAUGGUCGCAAGGCUGAAACUUAAAGGAAUUGACGGAAGGGCACCACCAGCCGUGGAGCCUGUGGCUUAAUUUGACUCAACACGGGAAAACUUACCAGGUCCAGACAUAGUAAGGAUUGACAGAUUGAUAGCUCUUUCUUGAUUCUGUGGGUGGUGGUGCAUGGCCGUUCUUAGUUGGUGGAGUGAUUUGUCUGGUUAAUUCCGUUAACGAACGAGACCCCAGCCUGCUAAAUAGCGCGGUUGAGCUUUGCUCGAUGCGAGCUUCUUAGAGGGACUAUGAUGCGCGAUAGCACAUGGAAGUUUGGGGCAAUAACAGGUCUGUGAUGCCCUUAGAUGUUCUGGGCCGCACACGGGCUACACUGGCGCCUGCAACGAGCAUAUCAGCUGGCCCGAGAGGGUCUUGGCUAAUCUUUUGAACCGGCGCCGUGCUUGGGAUUGACCAUUGCAAUUGUUGGUCAUGCAACGAGGAAUGCCUUGUAAACGCGAGUCAUCAGCUCGCAUUGAAUACGUCCCUGCCCUUUGUACACACCGCCC